CUUGACCUGUGCGACCCCGCGGCCCGGGCGCCCAGCGCUGCCCUAGUCCCCGAGACCCCGCCCGGGCGCCGGACCUUGCGAUCGGGCUGCGGAGGGCGAGGAGACCUUCCCCGGACCCGCUCCUUUCCAGGCCGCUGGAGCCUCUGCGGGCAGAGCACCCCAGGGAAGGAAGGCAGGUCCUGGGCCGGGAUCUGCCCGGCCCCCUCUGUCCCCUCAGGCGAGCUGUAGGCUCCGGAAUUUCUGUUGCCCGAGGCGGUCAUGGAAGCCCGAACCGCUGCGAGUCAGCCCUAAAACCUAGGUGUGGUGGGGGGGGGGAUUGAACUCAGGUCUUUGCGCUUGCACCGCAGGCGGCGAAGCCACUGAGCUAAAUUCCCGGCCCGGCCGUCGAUGUGUCAUUCUUAACCUUCCUCUACUCUCUGCUUAGGAGCCAGCCAUGAAGAAAUUCCUUAAAAAAAAAAAAAAAAAAGUCAAGCGCGGUGAGUGGCUCACAACAGUUCCAGCUACUGGAAGGCUGAGACAGGAGGGUAGCAAGAUGGGGCCCUGCCUGGGCAAUUUAGUCAGACCCUGUUUCAAAAUAAUGAAAAGGCUGAAGAUUUAGCUCCGCACUCCUCAAGUUCAAUUCCAAGAAAAGUCUGGUAUUUUAUUUGAGUUUUUGUGACAAUAAGAAAUGGUUCGCUAAGCCAGAUGGGAUGGUCCUGGGCACCCUACCGAAACAGUCUGUGUGUGUGUGUGUCUCUCUCUCUUCUUUUGUUGCUUUGUUGUUUUUUUUUUUUCUUUUUCGGUACCGGGGAUCAAACUCAGGACCUUGUGCUUGCAAGGCAGGCGCCGAAACCACUGAGCUAAAUCCUCGGCCCCUGUUGCUUUGCUUUUUGAGACUUGGUCUCACUAUGAACCCCAGGCUGGCCUCGAACUCCCGAUGAUCCUCCUGCCUCAGCACCCCCGAGUUUUGGGGUCACACCCGUGGGCCACCACACCCGGGGCUGGGUUUCUGCAGCAGGUGCCUGGCCACCAGCAGUCACACAGUCCCUGAGCCUGUGGAGACAUCAGAGAGCUCUGGGCACAGGUGCCCACCUGGGGUAGGAGAAGGAGGAGGAGAUGCCAGAGGCCAAGCUGAGCCCCAGUGGGUGGGGAGAGCUGGGGCGCAGGAUAGCAGAGAAGGAAGCUCUAGCUCAGGGGCCCCAGCCUGUUUAUCCCAGCCUGGCCCGAAACGUCACUGCGUCCACGCGUCGCCUUCCACGAGGUGUUGGAUCCCUGUCGCCCCUUAAGGGGUCCCAAGGUGGCACAGGCAGGAGGACACGUGGACCCGUGGCAAGGCGCUGUCGUGGUGACAGCAGGAUGAGAGAGAUGCUCUGCUUGCUUCACCACACUGUGUUGGUGGAGAGGGAGAAAUCAAACACACAGAAUCCUAAGUAAAUUCUACAGAGCAGAGGUUGGCGCUUCCUGGGCGUGCUGGGCGUCCUGGAAGCUUUGGGGGGAAGGUAAUGCCGUGCAAUCUUUUCCCUGCUGCCACCCUUUUUUCUUUAUUCUCCUCUCCCUCCCUUCAUGGUUCGCUCUGUUUCCUUCCUUCCUUUCUUUCUCCCUUCCUCCCUCCCUCCUUCCUUCCCUCCUUCCUUCCCUCCUUCUCUUCCCCAGGGUUUGAACCCCACAGCGUUAGAGAGGGGCCUUGACCUAUGUGUGUAAAACGGGCUGCCUGCUGCACAUGCAGGAAGGAGGCCAAGGUAUACACCGUGUGGAAAUAAAAACAUAAACUCGCACCAAGUGACCAUAGCAGCAUUAUUCACUAUAGCUCAAAGGUGGAAGGCAUCUGUUCGUCAGCUAAUGAGUGGAUAAACAAAAUGUCAUAUAAUCACAAAAUGGACUAUUACUCAGCUGUAAAAAGGGAUGAGGUAUUGCUGCGUGCUGCAGCAUGGGUAAACCUUGUACAUAUUAUGCUAAAAGAAAGGAAAAAGGGCCCAUGGGAAAUGUCCAGAAGAAGCCAGUCUAGGGAUAUAAAGUACAGUAGUGAUUGCCUCAGUGGAGGGGAGGUGGCAAUUUGGGAAGUGAUACUAAAAGGCAUGUGGUAGUAAGAUUGCUCUCAGCUGGAUGCAGGGGUGGCUGCAUGUUGCUGGGAAUACACAAGAUUCUUGAAUUGUACUUUUAUUUUGUGUCACGUAAGUCGAUUAUUAUGUUUAGUCCUGAAAGUAUGUUUCCCCUCAAAAGAAGGGUUCGUGAAAGUUUCAUUAUACCCGGGAAGAAUUGUACAAUUUAUUUAUUGUGUUUUUUGUCUGCUUUUUGAGAUGGGGUCUCAGUAUAUAGCCCAGGCUGGCCUUGAACUUGUGGCAAUCCUCCUGCCUCAGCUUUCUGAGUGCUGGGAUGACAGGUGUGCGCCACCACGCCAGGCUGGAGUUGCACAUUCUACAUGGGUAAAAAGCGUGGCAAAGGGCCAGGGAUUUAUCUCAGUGUUUUCACCACCUGCUGUCCAAGCGCAAGGACCUGAGUUUGAUCCCCGGUACCAAAAAAAAAAAUUUGUGGCAUGUCAGUUAGAUUUCAGUACUGAUGUUAUGAAAAAGUUGAUUGGGAAGUCCUGGAAAAUAGGAACCGUUCUUUUUGUUUUCUGUCAAUUUGGAGGUCUCUUGUCUGAAGAAAUACCUGAGUUGUUCUUCACCGGCAAGUCCUAUUAAUCUCAUUUCCUCAGCCCUCUUGGUGACCGUCUCUGUCCCCCGGAGGAGACCCUGGUGGGGCAGCUUCCGACUGAGGGUCUUGGUACCCACAGGCUCUGCAGGGCUGACAGAUGCCUGGUCAGUCCUCUUCCCAGGUGUGGCCUUUGAGGAGUGACUCCGGAUCUGGGGGUCCUCUCUUUAGCCUGCAGGACCCAAGGCAGGGCCUCGCAGUCCUGUGAGCCCUUUGGUCACUGGGGCUGAGCGGAAGCCUGCAGCCUGAGGCCCCGCCAUGGCCGCUUUAUCCACCCGGACAGCAUCCUGGUCCCUUGGUCCGACUUCCUUCAGCCCGGUCUCCACUGCUCUCCACCUGCGCUGUGGCAGGAGUAGAUCCUCACGCUGGGCUUUCCAAUGAGCCGUCCAACCCUGUAUUCCCCAACUUCACAACCUUUGACAUUUAGACUGAAGAGUUUUUAAAAACGGGAGGGGACAUAAGAAGAAUUAAGAGGUGCUGUGUACCUGCACCGACCCCCAUGGGGACUGCAAACAUGGACUGAGGGAAAAGCAAAAGGACUCGGGCCUCCUCAGGGGCCCCUUUGGGUGUUCUCAGGGCCUGCUGUUGGGCAGUGACACGUGACCACAUCUGAGGGGUUCAGGCUUCAUUUUGCAAGGGUCUCCGGAGGCUGCAGCAGGGCUGCAGCGGGCCCGCACCUGCCGAGGGGAGAGGCUGGUGGUGCCCGUUUGUGCCAGCUGAGGCUGCCUGGCCUGGACAGUCAGCCUGGGUGACCUGGACGGCAGCCAAGGCUGGGAGUCCCUCCCGGGGCGCCCUGAAGCAGACGGGAGCUGAGUAGGCCAGGGUGACUUAGCAAGAAAAACAGUGAGACAGGGCCACCCAGGAAGGCUUGGGGCUCCGCUCUGUUUCUGGAGGACGCGUGGGUGACAGGUGGCACCUCCAUUACCCCCGUGGCUGCUGACGGCUGUGACGGGGACUUGACUCCAAACAGCCAGGCAGCCUCUCUGCGCUCGGCUGCACCUGGGAUUCACUGGUGUGACCAGAGCUGGGCUUUCCAAAUCCCUUCGCCGGAAACCAUGCGAAUCAAAAUACUGCCAGGGAAGGGAGGAAGAGAAGUAGCUCCCGUUCCCAGGGCUGAAAAUCGUCUCCGAUUUCUCUUCUGUAAAUCACACCCGAGUUUGGAAGGUCAGGCGUGCGUCGCACCAUGGGGAGCUGAGCUGGGCAGAGGCAGAGGGGCCGAGGACCUGCUUCCCGGGACUCCAGGUGGGGGUCCUCCCACACGGCGAGCCUCUGUGCAGGGCCCAGGGAGGAGCUCCCAGGGGGACGUGUGACGGCUGCUCAAGGACAGAGCAAAGACCCCGAGUGUCACCCCGAAAGCUCCCGGUUUGUCUGAGGUGCCUCUUUAGCGGCCCCUCACAGUCUCCACACACUCCCAGUGCUGGGGCUCCGGAUUUGACUCGGGAGGGGUCACGGUGCAGUGCUUCGGACCUUGGAGACCCAGAGAGGAAACGGGACAUUCCUGACUGGAUGUGUCCCGAUCAAGCAGGGAGCCGGGAAAAGCGGGCAAAGGCCGGCGUUCCCUCCACGGAUGUCAACAAGACUCAAUCCUGUGACAGGUGCCGCCCGGUGCUGGGAGUUGAACUCUGCCACAUCGAAUGUGAGAUCCAUCAGUAAUGAAAGGAAAUUUCCUCAAAGACAACUGCAACAGCGAAUGAUCUUUCCUCUGGUCAUUUAAAAACGUCUCUGCGGUAUUUCUCGGUCUGUAAGUGGAGCCACUGUUCGCUCAGGUUUUUAUCCUGUAAGCAAACAUCUUUAUCGGUCUUACAUGGAGCGCUGUGUAGCUGCCUGCCUGCCACCUGAGUCUAGAGCAGACUUUAUGCUGUCAGCUGCCCCAGAGGGCGGGACCUACCGACUGCCUGUAGUCAAGAGAGGCUCAGCAGCCCGGAACUGGCAGCCGCCGGAGAGAGAGGAAGGGAGGCUGGGGCACUACCAACGUCAUGCGCCAGUCACGCGCCACAGGGCAGCCGGACUGGGCCAGGCGCGCUUCCCAUCUUGCUGACGUCAUCGGCACCGCCCCUGCACCUCUGCCCCCCCCCCCCCCCCCCGCUGGGGACCAGCGAGGGCGGUCGGUGGCAGAGCUGGGUCCUCCGUGGGGCUCGGACUGGCCCAGCUGCUGCUUCUGUCCCGUGGGGACAGCUCCGGUGACUGUGCUCUCCCCGAAAGACAGCGCUGUGCCGGCAUCAGCUUGGGGCCUGGAAACCUGAGAACGGGGGCCUCCUACUCCAAGCUCUCAGAUAUUUUGGCCCAACCCACAGUGCAAGUGGGAGAGGGGUUUCCCGGCCUGGCCAGCAGGGUUGGGGAGGAAAAGGGUAAACUGUCACCACUUCAGGGCACCGUGGCUGCUCGAACUCACCUCGGUACCAGUGAUACGUGCUACGGAGAACAGCCUGAGAGCUUGUGAAGUUUAGAAACCCUGACAGGCGUGCUGCGGAUGGCUAAUAAAUAAUUCUCAAAAAUG
This is a non-coding RNA of Heterocephalus glaber (naked mole-rat), 5167 nucleotides long. The record is from RefSeq and is a predicted model, not a curated record. Lineage: Eukaryota; Metazoa; Chordata; Mammalia; Rodentia; Bathyergidae.